This 497-nucleotide ribosomal RNA is filed under the name uncultured bacterium. RNAcentral describes it as "partial 16S ribosomal RNA". It matches the Rfam family "Bacterial small subunit ribosomal RNA", at positions 28 to 507 of the family's 1533-position model. The record is from RNAcentral.
GAUGAACGCUGGCGGCGUGCCUAAUACAUGCAAGUCGAGCGAACGGACGAGGAGCUUGCUUUUCUGAUGUUAGCGGCGGACGGGUGAGUAACACGUGGAUAACCUACCUAUAAGACUGGGAUAACUUCGGGAAACCGGAGCUAAUACCGGAUAAUCUUUUGAACCGCAUGGUUCAAAAGUGAAAGACGGUCUUGCUGUCACUUAUAGAUGGAUCCGCGCUGCAUUAGCUAGUUGGUAAGGUAACGGCUUACCAAGGCAACGAUGCAUAGCCGACCUGCGAGGGUGAUCGGCCACACUGGAACUGAGACACGGUCCAGACUCCUACGGGAGGCAGCAGUAGGGAAUCUUACGCAAUGGGCGAAAGCCUGACGGAGCAACGCCGCGUGAGUGAUGAAGGUCUUCGGAUCGUAAAACUCUGUUAUUAGGGAAGAACAUAUGUGUAAGUAACUGUGCACAUCGUGACGGUACCUAAUCAGAAAGCCACGGCUAACUACGUG